UCAGAGCAUGUACUCAGUCAUUCCACACUGCAAGUAAACCUGACAUCUCACAAACACAGCAGUAAUACAAGGCUGUCAAAAAAAGACAAAGGAACAUGGAAAGACAGGAAAAACACAGUGAGGUGAACGGAUUCAGACCUCCUGUAGAUGGCAGCUGGUAUUAAUGCCGGAAAUGUCCUAAGGUGUUUUCCUCAUCACUGUAAAAGGCAUUGUACCUCUACAAGUUCUCUGGCUUACUUUAAAAACAGGAUCGGAGGUGGUACAGAUGAACAAUACAGUGGGCAAGUUUAUACUGCCAGGCUCUACUGAUUUUAAACUAUGAAUGGCGCAAUG
This is a long non-coding RNA of Stegostoma tigrinum, 333 nucleotides long. RefSeq lists it as uncharacterized. NCBI's taxonomy places the organism in Eukaryota, Metazoa, Chordata, Chondrichthyes, Orectolobiformes, Stegostomatidae. The transcript is spliced from 3 exons. The record is from RefSeq and is a predicted model, not a curated record.